This 492-nucleotide ribosomal RNA is filed under the name uncultured bacterium. RNAcentral's name for it is "partial 16S ribosomal RNA". It matches the Rfam family "Bacterial small subunit ribosomal RNA", at positions 29 to 507 of the family's 1533-position model. The record is from RNAcentral.
AGUGAACGCUGGCGGUAGGCCUAACACAUGCAAGUCGAACGGCAGCACAGUAAGAGCUUGCUCUUACGGGUGGCGAGUGGCGGACGGGUGAGGAAUACAUCGGAAUCUACUUUUUCGUGGGGGAUAACGUAGGGAAACUUACGCUAAUACCGCAUACGACCUACGGGUGAAAGCAGGGGAUCUUCGGACCUUGCGCGAUUGAAUGAGCCGAUGUCGGAUUAGCUAGUUGGCGGGGUAAAGGCCCACCAAGGCGACGAUCCGUAGCUGGUCUGAGAGGAUGAUCAGCCACACUGGAACUGAGACACGGUCCAGACUCCUACGGGAGGCAGCCGUGGGGAAUAUUGGACAAAGGGCGCAAGCCUGAUCCAGCCAUACCGCGUGGGUGAAGAAGGCCUUCGGGUUGUAAAGCCCUUUUGUUGGGAAAGAAAAGCAGCAGGUUAAUACCCCGCUGUUCUGACGGUACCCAAAGAAUAAGCACCGGCUAACUUCGUG